UCUCCAUCGGUUUGGACGAGCGAACCACUCGCGGAGAACAACAGCAAGCUCAGCUCCGAUCUGACUUCCCUCAUCCACUAGGGUUGUGAUGGGCAACAAGGUAUGCAAGGAUGUCACUGUCAUUAAGGUGGAUAGUGGGAAUAAACAUUGAAUACUUCUGGAGGUUGUUCAAGUUCUAAUUGAGCUUAAUCUCACCAUUAAGAAAGCUUAUAUCUCAUUUUAUGGUGGCUGGUUCAUGGAUGUUUUCAAUGUUACUGAUCAUGAAGGGAACAAAGUCACCGAUGAUAGCGUUCUUGAAUAUAUUUGUACAUUAAGUAAUAGCGAUCAUUUUCUUGGUUUAUAUUUAGUUUCGGUUAGUUUUGAUAAUAUGGUUAUCAACUCUUUAUUUGGUGUGUGAUUGUUUAUAUUUGUUUAUAUUCAGUCUUGGUUUAUAUUUGUUUAUAUUUGUUUAUAUUUGAGGAAAGAGUUUCAGUGACAAAGUUGAGUCAAGCUUAGGUCAAUUGACUUGUCCCACUACAAUGUCAUAAUUUGAUAUAUACUUAGGUUCCUCAAAGAACACA
This is a non-coding RNA of Camelina sativa (false flax), 560 nucleotides long. The record is from RefSeq and is a predicted model, not a curated record. NCBI's taxonomy places the organism in Eukaryota, Viridiplantae, Streptophyta, Magnoliopsida, Brassicales, Brassicaceae.